UUAACACAUGCAAGUCGAGGGGCAUCAUGAGGUAGCAAUACCUUGAUGGCGACCGGCGCACGGGUGAGUAACGCGUAUGCAACCUGCCCGAUACCGGGGGAUAGCCUUUCGAAAGAAAGAUUAAUACCGGAUGGCAUAGUUUUUCCGCAUGGGAUAAUUAUUAAAGAAUUUCGGUUGUCGAUGGGGAUGCGUUCCAUUAGGCAGUUGGCGGGGUAACGGCCCACCAAACCAACGAUGGAUAGGGGUUCUGAGAGGAAGGUCCCCACAUUGGAACUGAGACACGGUCCAAACUCC
Molecule: ribosomal RNA, 294 nt
Filed under: uncultured Bacteroidales bacterium
Lineage: Bacteria; Pseudomonadati; Bacteroidota; Bacteroidia; Bacteroidales
Description: partial 16S ribosomal RNA
Rfam family: Bacterial small subunit ribosomal RNA
Source: RNAcentral